Paramuricea clavata is the source of this 275-nucleotide non-coding RNA. The record is from the annotation of a GenBank genome assembly. NCBI's taxonomy places the organism in Eukaryota, Metazoa, Cnidaria, Anthozoa, Malacalcyonacea, Plexauridae.
AUAUAUAUAAAUAAUAUAUAUAAUUAUACACUAUUAAUGGACUUAAAAGUGUUUACUUCACCUAAUUUUCAAACAACGAAUUAUUGACCCACAAUUAUUCCACAAUGCUCUGUACAUUCCAGAAGUCCUCAUUACUAAAAAUUGUGUGACGUAAACACUUCUCAGGUCUAUGUAUUAACAGUAAAUAAUAAAUAUAUCUGUACCACUGACUGCAUCUUUAAUCUUGCUAUCCUUCCACUGGUAAACAUAUGGAGAGCAUUGGUAAAAACAUUCCU